Non-coding RNA from Caenorhabditis elegans, 219 nucleotides. The record is from Ensembl. NCBI's taxonomy places the organism in Eukaryota, Metazoa, Nematoda, Chromadorea, Rhabditida, Rhabditidae.
AGCCGUUUUGGCAUUGUGCCAAGUCUCUUUUUGAAGAUAUGUGGUACGAGACUGUGAGAAAUAAGAAAAGUUUGUUGAUAAUAAACGAAGCGAAUAGAGAGAGGCACAGAGGGACGACCCCAAUAUCUAAGAGGCCGUGUUUACUUUGGCUCGUCGUCAUCUUUCGAACCAACACAUGCAUACGCUCCCUUGCGCGCGCGCUCCUCUGAUCAUUCAAUC